AGAGUUUGAUCAUGGCUCAGAAUCAACGCUGGCGGCGUGCCUAACACAUGCAAGUCGAACGCGAAAGGGGCUUCGGCCCUGAGUAGAGUGGCGAACGGGUGAGUAACACGUGGGUGACCUACCUUCAAGUGGGGGAUAACGUCCCGAAAGGGACGCUAAUACCGCAUAACAUUCUUCGUUUGAACACGAGGAAAUCAAAGCCGGGGAUCGCAAGACCUGGCGCUGGAAGAGGGGCCCGCGUCCGAUUAGCUAGUUGGUGAGGUAAUGGCUCACCAAGGCAACGAUCGGUAGCCGGCCUGAGAGGGCGGACGGCCACACUGGGACUGAGACACGGCCCAGACUCCUACGGGAGGCAGCAGUGGGGAAUUGUUCGCAAUGGGCGCAAGCCUGACGACGCAACGCCGCGUGGAGGAUGAAGGUCUUCGGAUUGUAAACUCCUGUUGCCCGGGACGAAUUGCUCCGACCUAACACGUCGGAGUUUGACGGUACCGGGCGAGGAAGCCCCGGCUAACUCUGUGCCAGCAGCCGCGGUAAUACAGAGGGGGCAAGCGUUGUUCGGAAUUACUGGGCGUAAAGGGCGCGUAGGCGGCCUUCUAAGUCGGACGUGAAAUCCCCGGGCUCAACCCGGGAACUGCGUCCGAUACUGGGAGGCUUGAAUCCGGGAGAGGGAUGUGGAAUUCCAGGUGUAGCGGUGAAAUGCGUAGAUAUCUGGAGGAACACCGGUGGCGAAGGCGGCAUCCUGGACCGGUAUUGACGCUGANGCGCGAAAGCCAGGGAGCAAACGGGAUUAGAUACCCCGGUAGUCCUGGCCCUAAACGAUGAAUGCUUGGUGUGGCGGGUAUCGAUCCCUGCCGUGCCGAAGCUAACGCAUUAAGCAUUCCGCCU
Molecule: ribosomal RNA, 885 nt
Filed under: uncultured bacterium
Lineage: Bacteria
Description: bacterial SSU rRNA
Rfam family: Bacterial small subunit ribosomal RNA
Source: RNAcentral